Molecule: ribosomal RNA, 447 nt
Filed under: uncultured bacterium
Lineage: Bacteria
Description: bacterial SSU rRNA
Rfam family: Bacterial small subunit ribosomal RNA
Source: RNAcentral
UCCAGACUCCUACGGGAGGCAGCAGUGGGGAAUAUUGCACAAUGGGCGAAAGCCUGAUGCAGCGACGCCGCGUGAAGGAUGAAGUAUUUCGGUAUGUAAACUUCUAUCAGCAGGGAAGAAAAUGACGGUACCUGACUAAGAAGCCCCGGCUAACUACGUGCCAGCAGCCGCGGUAAUACGUAGGGGGCAAGCGUUAUCCGGAUUUACUGGGUGUAAAGGGAGCGUAGACGGAAAGGCAAGUCAGAAGUGAAAACCCAAGGCUCAACCAUGGGACUGCUUUUGAAACUGUCAAACUAGAGUACGGGAGAGGUAAGAGGAAUUCCUAGUGUAGCGGUGAAAUGCGUAGAUAUUAGGAGGAACACCAGUGGCGAAGGCGUCUUACUGGACCGAAACUGACGUUGAGGCUCGAAAGCGUGGGGAGCAAACAGGAUUAGAUACCCUUGUAUC